AUGAGCUGGCAUGGGUCAACAUACAUUUCAUUACCAGGCAAAAGAGCCAUGUCUACUGGUGCACCAUGUUCAGGGGAGGCCUUUGGUGCACAACUACACAAAUACGGGACUGAGGUAACAAGGAUUCAGGAAGGUAGUUGGUACUGUGAGAGACUGUGUUAUGUGAUUAUUGACUCAAAUCAUGCUGUGAGAGACUGGACUAUUGGAGCUAACAGCUCAGACAAUUUGGUGAGUGCUUUGCUAGUGAUGCACAGAGUGCAGAAGGGUGUGCAUGCUUGGGGCUACAAGCUGGGUUUCCAGAUAAUGCAGGAGGCUGAUAAAAGACAAAUCCUGAGAGGGGGCAUAAGUCCUUCUUAUCAUGCCAAUGUCCUCCCUUCAUGAUGACUCAUCUGUGAAAACUCCCUUCCGAGGUAUCAGGACAGUCACAUGUAGGAUGAAGAUGGGUAUGUCACAUGUAGGAUGAUGGGCUAUAAUGGGUCUUGACUGAUUCAACUACGAUGGUAAGAGACAGCUGCAACAUUUUAGAAGAUGUCAAAGACUCAUGAAUUGUGCCAUGAUCCAGUGUUACAUCAUCCAGGGGAGGUACAGGAGGCAUUUCCACACAGCCUCAUCAUAAUGUAAAACCCAUGGACCUGGUGUUUUUUGAGUUCUUUCCCUCCACCACUUGAUGGAUAAAGUCUGCAACCAUCACCUCAACAAGACUGCAAUCACUGAGAAGACCAGAAGAAGAGGACCAAUGGGACAUCGUUGGAAUCUAUGGAGUGGUCAUAUUUUCUUCUGCUUUACUUUUUUCUCUGUUACUUUCUUUCUCCCCUCCUCUUCCCCCCACCCCGUUCCCACCCCAUAUCUCUCUCCCCCCCUCACAUUUACUGUUUAAUAAAAGCUGUACUGUUGACUUCA
Molecule: long non-coding RNA, 900 nt
Filed under: Parus major (Great Tit)
Lineage: Eukaryota; Metazoa; Chordata; Aves; Passeriformes; Paridae
Description: lncRNA (ENSPMJG00000015797.1)
Source: RNAcentral